This 528-nucleotide ribosomal RNA is filed under the name Coriocella sp. MNHN IM 2019-3211. RNAcentral describes it as "partial large subunit ribosomal RNA". It matches the Rfam family "Bacterial large subunit ribosomal RNA", at positions 1815 to 2619 of the family's 2925-position model. Lineage: Eukaryota; Metazoa; Mollusca; Gastropoda; Littorinimorpha; Velutinidae. The record is from RNAcentral.
AUGGCUCUUCGAUAUCAAGGAUGUAGAGUCUGGCCUGCCCGGUGAAUAAAAUUAAACGGCCGCGGUACUCUGACCGUGCGAAGGUAGCAUAAUCAUUUGUCUUAUAAUUGAAGUCUGGAAUGAAUGGUUUAACAAGGGUAAGACUGUCUCUAACUCUUCGUUAAAACUUUAUUAUUAGGUUAAAAGGCCUAAGUAUAAUUAGAAGACGAGAAGACCCUGUCGAACUUUAGGAAAAUAAAAAUAAUUCUUAACAUAAAUGAAAUCAGAAUAUAUUAAAAACUUUGGUUGGGGCGACCCAGGAACAAAAAAAGCUUCCUUCACAUAGAUGAAUGAAUUGAUCAUGAGCCACUAAGAGUGAUUAAAAGAAUUAGUUACCGCAGGGAUAACAGCAUUAUCUUUCUUGAGAGCUCAUAUCGAAAGGGAGGUUUGUGACCUCGAUGUUGGACCAGGGUUUCCUAAAGAUGUAGAAGUCUUUAAAGGUUGGUCUGUUCGACCAUUAAAAUCCUACGUGAUCUGAGUUCAGACCGG